Molecule: ribosomal RNA, 209 nt
Filed under: uncultured Latescibacterota bacterium
Lineage: Bacteria; Pseudomonadati; Candidatus Latescibacterota
Description: uncultured Latescibacteria bacterium partial 16S ribosomal RNA
Rfam family: Bacterial small subunit ribosomal RNA
Source: RNAcentral
CGUGUAGGCGGUCAGGUAAGUGGAAUGUGAAAUGCCCCGGCUCACCCGGGGACCGGCAUCCCAAACUGCCUGGCUUGAGUAUGGGAGAGGAUGGAGGAAUUCCUGGUGUAGCGGUGAAAUGCGUAGAUAUCAGGAGGAACACCGGUGGCGAAGGCGUCCAUCUGGCCCAAUACUGACGCUGAGGCGCGAAAGCUAGGGGGAGCAAACGG